AUGGUCUCAUUCAGCUUUGCGAUAGCUCAGCUUGUUUCACCCUUAAUAUUUUUUAAAAAUAUUUCUUUUUUUAUCCAUGUUUGCAUUUGGGAGGAUAUAUUUUUUAUCAUCACGACCAUCCUUACUAUCAUUUUUAAGUGGCCACAUAGAUAUAUAACUGGCCUGCCUCAUAAACAACAGUGUCUUCUUUUAUUGAUGUUGCAGGAUGGGCUUCUCAUUUUCUCUGCUGACUUCGUAGAGUUGUUUGAGCAAACAGUAAAUUCAGUUAGUGUGGAUAGACAGCACCACAAACUCAGUGGUCAGCUUUUCCUCAAGAUGAUGCUUUCUCACUUGGUGACUCAAGAGUCCAGUUACAAUCACACCCACCUCCUUCCACAGAUUAUUUGAGAACAUCUUUGAAAGCUAAGAAGCAUGAUAACCCCACAGCUAACACCGAAGAUGCUAACAUUCUCUGCAUGCCCACCUAGCAAAGAUGUUCCACAAAAUCUUUACUUCCUCAGGUGUUACUGCACGUUAACUGAGCUCUUACUACAUGCUAGGUGCUGUUCUACCCUCUGUUAGUAAAGACAUUCUAAAACAUUCAUUUAAGAUAAAGAUAUAAGGCAGAAAAUGAGCGAACUUGUCUUCAGCUCUUGGGAAACAAAAUCCAAUUCGACACUCACUUUUCUUAUUGCUUUGAAUGAAUAGACAAAUUUUUAAGCAUUUUGUAUGGUUUUGACAAAUAAUCAUGAGUAUUUUCAAAGCAUUUCGGAAGAAAGUGGUGUUUGUGCUCUGUUCAGUGGAAUUAACAGAUGGUAGCCUAGACUGCAUAGCAGCUAUUCUGGUCAUUACUUAUUCUGGCACAGGGCAUGGAAACGUUUUGUUUUGUUAAAGCUAGUUAAUCUGUACUGAUACGCACGGAAGUGAAUACAUAAAAAUCAUAUUUUAAAAUGCACUUUAAUUCUGGAAAAAAUAUCUCUUGCUUUCUGCUGUUAAACACAUGUUCUUUACGUAUAAAUAGUACAAAAGUUACAAUACAUGAAUUCUGUUCCAUGAAAUUUUCUUAAUUACCUACACUGAGAUUUGAAAUUCAAAACAAAACAAAACAAAACAAAACACCCCUUUGUUGUGACAUAUAAAUCGAACUCCAUAGGUUUGCCACCCAGACCCUCUGCAACCUCAAAACCUCAAAACCUGCUUUCUGAAAUCCCCCACCCACCCCACCUUUGGAGAAAAAAAAAAAAGUUUUGGCGUUUACUUCAGACCCAGACAAGAUAAAGUGGGCCUUCAGUUUUGCAAGAGCAGACAAUUGUAGGUUUCCAAUUUAGAUAAGGUUUUGAAGAGAAUGAUUUAAAAAUGGGUAUUUAGUGAGAAAAUCUUAAUGAAUGCUCACUCUUCUUUCUGACCUUGGCUACCGCCCCUGCCCAGCUGGAGAUUCUCGUUUUAAUGAGGCAAUAUUGUAUUUCUGAGCAGCAGGCCCUGCUUUGAAACAGUUCUCUUCUCUUCGGAAAGCUCAAAGCUGCUUUCAUGCAAGUACUAUUGAUUAAGAAAUUAUUCCUUUAAAUGAAGGGAAAUAAAAGUUCCAUCAGGGGCUUACCA
This is a long non-coding RNA of Vulpes vulpes (red fox), 1578 nucleotides long. The record is from Ensembl. NCBI's taxonomy places the organism in Eukaryota, Metazoa, Chordata, Mammalia, Carnivora, Canidae.